Ziziphus jujuba (common jujube) is the source of this 1190-nucleotide long non-coding RNA. RefSeq lists it as uncharacterized. The transcript is spliced from 3 exons. The record is from RefSeq and is a predicted model, not a curated record. Lineage: Eukaryota; Viridiplantae; Streptophyta; Magnoliopsida; Rosales; Rhamnaceae.
GAGGUAGCUACUGGAGAGUUCUUUCAGCUCUGCCACAUUCUUCUGGAUCUUGGCCUUGGACUCACUGCCUUAGCAUUCUAUUUGGUUGGCGAGCAGAUCUACAACAAAACCCUUGGUCCUUCCUCCUUCUCUUCUUCUGGGUCUACUUUUAUUUUGUUUUUAUCAGCUGUUGGGGAACAAUUAGAUGGGGGUUUGGGAUUUUGGCAUUGGGGGGAUGGGUCAAGGAGAUAGGGCGAGUUAACCAGGUGCGAAGGAGUGGAUGCUUUGAGAUGCAAAGUUUCUUUGUUCAUUGUAUUAUAAGCACCUCAAAACUGAAUAGACCACAACUGGAUGGUUAGACAACCGUGGAAGUCAAUAACAUCACAGAUAUUAAUAGCAUCAUAAAACAUCAUUUCAAGACCCACCCUUCAGGUAUUGCAAUAUUGGAAGAAGAAAAAGUCCAAAACUCAGGAGGUUAAGAAGGAACUCACAGACAAGGACGUUCAGGAGGGUUUUGACAUUACUCUUACAAAACAUAAGGGGCAGUAAGUUGUACCAUGAAAGUCCAAGGCUUAUAUGCGUACUAUAUACAGCUCCAACAUAUGGUCCAUGUAGGACUUUGAAGCCAAUUCUUAGUAAGGUAUGCAAAUAAAAAAAUGUUUCACUUUUGCAUGACGUUCAAUCUCAAUGCCACUAUCAACUCUUACAAUGAUUGAUGUCUAAUGUGAUUUGGAGGUGGCCAGAAAUAUUUGGGAUGACAUGAUGAAAAACCAAUUUUAUGUGGUAACAUCUCAUUGUGUGAAGAAACACAUGCUUUACUGUAUCUGUCUAUUUUAGUGUUGAUGCCUCAUAUAGAAUGCAGUAACCUCUUUUUAAUAACUUUCUUUUAUGGUAGGUGAUUGACGAGUUUGAUCAAAAUGUACACUUUGUUGAAAUUGAUAUUGAGGAAAAUCCAGAAAUAGCAUAAGCAGCUGGUAUUAUGGGUACACCAUGUGUUCAAUUUUUCAAAACAAGGAAAAUUUGAGGUUGUUUUUCUUCUAUACUCCUGGUGCUGGUCCAACUGUCAAAUCUGGUUCAAAGGGAAAGCGCCAUUGUUUGAUACUGAAUAAAACCGACCUUAAAUUGGUGCAUACUACAGAGCAUGUUUGCUAGGUAUGUUAAACUUGACCAUGCAUUUCUAGUCAUGGAUUUAUGUUCAUAUUUAAGAUACA